GACGAACGCUGGCGGCGUGCUUAACACAUGCAAGUCGAACGGAAAGGCCCUGCUUUUGUGGGGUGCUCGAGUGGCGAACGGGUGAGUAACACGUGAGUAACCCGCCCUUGACUUUGGGAUAACUUCAGGAAACUGGGGCUAAUACCGGAUAGGAGCUCCUGCUGCAUGGUGGGGGUUGGAAAGUUUCGGCGGUUGGGGAUGGACUCGCGGCUUAUCAGCUUGUUGGUGGGGUAGUGGCUUACCAAGGCUUUGACGGGUAGCCGGCCUGAGAGGGUGACCGGCCACAUUGGGACUGAGAUACGGCCCAGACUCCUACGGGAGGCAGCAGUGGGGAAUAUUGCACAAUGGGCGGAAGCCUGAUGCAGCAACGCCGCGUGCGGGAUGACGGCCUUCGGGUUGUAAACCGCUUUCGCCUGUGACGAAGCGUGAGUGACGGGAAUGGGUAAAGAAGCACCGGCUAACUACGU
This 467-nucleotide ribosomal RNA is filed under the name uncultured bacterium. RNAcentral describes it as "partial 16S ribosomal RNA". It matches the Rfam family "Bacterial small subunit ribosomal RNA", at positions 28 to 506 of the family's 1533-position model. The record is from RNAcentral.